Molecule: long non-coding RNA, 2305 nt
Filed under: Equus caballus (horse)
Lineage: Eukaryota; Metazoa; Chordata; Mammalia; Perissodactyla; Equidae
Description: lncRNA (ENSECAG00000048928.1)
Source: RNAcentral
GGUGUCUUGGGUCACCUCCUAUUACACUUUGCUCCCUCCCCGCGAGACUCCUCUCUGGGUGGGCCCUGUCCACUUUCCCCCCUGAGAGAACCCUCACUUGCAACCCCUCUAUUGAAUGCCCACCUUCUGCCCAGUUUGACCAAGAGCUCCCGGAUGACUUCCUCUCCUUCCCACCCGUCCCGCUCACGACCAGCCCUCCAUAGAACUCAGCCUCGGGGGUCAGCACACCUAAGGGGCUCCUGCUUCUUUUUCAUUGCUUCUUCCUCACCUCUGAAUCUGACCGUAAUGGCUCUCUAGAAGUUACUAGUUACUUCAUAAAGGAUUUCUCAGAAGCAGAAUCCUGAGGUACGGAAUUCCUUGCCUCAGAAAGGUAAGAAAGAACUAAUAGACGCCAUUCAAGUCUGUAGACAACAGGCAUUUGUAAAUCGGGGGCAGCCUGUCUACAUGUUUCUGUUCAGUCGGUCUUCUAUCUACUUGCUCUGUGGAGAUUCCUUCAUCAGGUCCAUGAAUCUGCUGUUUUGGAUGCUGCAUAAGGCUUGACUCACAACGAAACUGCAACCUCAAGAACACCCGGGGCCAGGAUUGCGAGAAGGAAAUACAGGUGAACACACGCAAAAGCUGCCUGAGGAAAAGGUCUUGUUUCUCUUACAGAAUGGUCCUUCCAGGGCUGGGCGGAAGCCGUGAACUGGAAGGGCUGAAGGGGCUGGGAGUCAUGCUGACUUAGUGGAUUCGGCAGGGAGGGAAAGUAUGCAUCAGAACCACACAUGCCAAGCAACUCCUGCCUAGGAGGGUAGACGGGGCAGGGUGAGGAGGGGAGAGAGGGGAAUCACAAAACCCUAGGAUAUCAGAUUUGGAAAGUACCUUAGAAAAACAGCCCUGUCGAGCCUGCCUCUUACAGUUGCAGAAGGGAAGGCCAAGGGUUGGAAAGCAAUGUGCCAGGGGUCUCACAGUGGAAGGUCCAGGCUGGCAGCUGUUCUCCUAGAUGCCUGAGCCAGAGUUUUCUCAACCAUGGGAUUGACUUCUUGGAACCCCUGUAACAUCCUCAGGAUAUUGGGGUUGAAAACCUGUCCUGCUCCGAGUCUUCAGGCCUAUAAAGAAACACAGCCGGCUCUGGCAGCUGAGCAUUCCCACAGCAAAGCACCGACGCCACAACUCAGAUGCCCGACUGCUGGUUAUGGGCUAGGCACUCAUCUAAGCACUUGUGUAUGAACAUUAUUUCAUCCCAUCCUUACAGCCACCCCACAGUGCCACUCAUCAUCUCCGGGUGUGGAUACUGCAGCACAAGAAAACUCAGUAGCUGGCCUAAGGUCACACGGAUGGUAAGGAGGGCAGCUCGGCUUGGAGCUUUAACUUGAACACACAAUGCCUGACCCAGUUCCUAAAGGGUGCCCGCCUCAUCAUCAUGAUUCCUCCAUCAACAGGAUGGGUGAGAGCCCAGUGACUGCGCAUGCCGCUCGGUUUUGCACGGGGCGAGAAGAGAAGGAGAAGCAAAUUGUGGGGAUUUGAUUGGUAACUUCUGGCCAGGUGGACUGGGAAAUGUCUGAUUUUAUUUUCAAGACUGUUCUGAAAACUGAGAAAGCACAAGACUAACCGAAAAGAAGGCAGAGUUUUUUAACUGCCCCUCAGAAUUGAAGGAGAGCGAGCGAGAGCCAGAGUGGGAGAGUGAGAAGGAGAGAGAAGAUUAACAGUGGAAGUGGGGAGUGGAACCCAGAUAAGCCUGCAGAAGAGUCCUCCCAAUAGCCCUGUGCCCCUGGCCACAGCCAGCCCCUGCAGCCAGGUCCGUUGGAGAAGGGGAGUUACAGUAAUAGGCAGGGCGCUGCAGAUCAGCACCAAAACUCCCGGGGGUUCUGACAUGAAACCACAAACACUGCCUGUGAGGCCCUUCAGCCUCCAUGACAUACGUGAUGCUCACAGGACUGCACUAAGGGACCAAACUGGCUAUUUGGAAACUCUGAAUAAAGAAGACACCAGUGGAGUGGUGGGCUUCCCCCUUCUCCCUCCAGGCCAGGUGCCCUGUGGGUGUGUACCCCUCCCUUCCUCUGAGGCCAGGUUUUUGUUAAACCUUUAAGCCAGGGAUUCUCACAGGGUGGUCCAAGGACCCCCGGGAGGUCCUCCCUUUUACAACUCUAUAUCUACGUGAGGCUGGAUUUUCUUCAUAUGCUUCAACUCAGACAACAUAUCACAACAGACUGAAGGUGGGAACAAAUGUAGGAAUCCAGGUUCUUCUACUAAACCAGAUAUUUAAAGAGAUUUGGGACAAAUGUCAAACAGCACCGCUCUUCUCACUAAAUGUGCUCUGACUGGG